Molecule: long non-coding RNA, 374 nt
Filed under: Struthio camelus australis
Lineage: Eukaryota; Metazoa; Chordata; Aves; Struthioniformes; Struthionidae
Description: lncRNA (ENSSCUG00000006124.1)
Source: RNAcentral
AACAAGAAUUUUCACUUCUCUGUUUUUGUUCUCGGGGCAUGCGAGUCAGUGCGUGUUUCUUUUGUAGAUUUAUUUUACUUCAGUAAAAUGUAUCAGCUGUGAGCAUUCUGGCAAAUUCAGGGAAACACUUCGUAUGGGCAUUUACAGGAGGGACAGAGGAUUUGUGCUGUGUCUGGUCUGAAGUAGAAAGCAUCAAGAUUUUCUUUUUCUCCCCUGACCUACGGUCUCUCAAGCGCCCUAUGAUGCAUCAUCUGCUGCCUAUAAAGAAAGAAUGCCAGGAAGGAAACAUUUAUCUGAACAGUUUACAAGAAGACCCCAGUGGAGUUCAAUUUGAGUUUUGGCUAAAGGCCUGGAGAGGAGAUCAGAUGAUCUAG